CAGUGUUACAGCUCUUUUAGAAUUUGUCUAGUAGGUUUUCCGGUUUUACCGGGAAGCCCUC
Molecule: small nuclear RNA, 61 nt
Filed under: Phascolarctos cinereus (koala)
Lineage: Eukaryota; Metazoa; Chordata; Mammalia; Diprotodontia; Phascolarctidae
Description: U7 small nuclear RNA (ENSPCIG00000002599.2)
Rfam family: U7 small nuclear RNA
About the family: Animal histone pre-mRNAs are spliced by a different mechanism than nuclear pre-mRNAs and self-splicing introns.
Source: Rfam by way of RNAcentral